CACGUCGCCCGCCCUAGUCUGCUUUUGUGAAUCUCCACUUUGUUCAACCCCCACCCGCCGUCUCUCCCUCCCUGCGCCUUCCCUCUAACCUUAAAGACCCAGCUACCUCUACGCAAAUGGUAGCUACCUCUGCGCAGGUGGAAGUUGAGUUCGGUUCACGCGGGACCCUCUUCCCUGUGGCAAGCUGCUGAAGGAGACCUGCUGUUACUGCUUUAGCUGCUGUUCUGCUUAAUCUCAGACAGCUGGAAGGUAGUAUUCCGCCCUCGCCCAGCCACCCGAGUAAAUGAGAAUGAUGACUGACUGAGACCCUGAUGGUGGUGGCUUAGGCUUAAUCUCAGACAGCUGGAAGGUAGUAUUCCGCCCUCACCCAGCCACCCGAGUAAAUGAGAAUGAUGACUGACUGAGACCCUGAUGGUGGUGGCUUAGGCAAGAUGAACGUCUGAAAUGGAGGCCCAGGGCUGCCACGAUGGCUCUGUAGUCAUCAGGGAGGGAGCUCCUUUUAUCUUGUUACCUACUCCCCUCUUGUGCCCCUUUCUUCCCUUGAUCUAAGAAGGUUGCUCCGGAUCUCGCCAUCUGGCCUGCGUUCAAUCAGCAGAAGCUUCCUGGAGGAGCAGGAGGAGGCACUGUGCUCGCAUCACAUACCAGUGGCCAGAAGUUGGCUUCAGGGAAGCUCAGGAAAUAGGAUGCGAGAAGCCAUGAGACCUCCCCAAACUCUGCAGUAACAGAGUCAACAAGACAAUGGCUUAAAGAUGGAGAGACCAGUUGAUCGGUCACACAAGCUGUUCCACGAUAAUUCUUGUGUCAGAAGGGGAGGCUGACUACCAGGACCACUGGCCCCACUUCCAGCCCCUCCAUUCUGAGUACACUUCAGAGGGCUCUGGCAGGGUGAGGGGGUCUUGGUGGUGCCACAGAGAGUAAAGGUCUAGCACACCCAUUGUGGAGAUAUUUCAUGGGGACAACCCAGUGACUUCACUUGAACUCCAGCUGGUCCUUCCAUUCGGGGUCCCUGACUUCCCGCAACAUAGAACCCUCAAAUAGAUGAAGGUGGAGCUUCUUGGGUAGAGACUGGAGGAUUGGGGUGUUGCCCACCGGGCCUUACGGACUCUCCUGAGUGAUCUGAGUCACCUCCAAAGAGCUAGCACGUGCCCAGCUUCCUUUCAAGUCUCUGGCCAAUGCAAUGUGAGCAGAAGUGAAGGGGCAACUUUCAGGUGAUGACUUGGAAAAGAAAGCUUAGUCCUCUGCUUCUCCUGUCACCCGAAAGAGAAACAGAGGCUUGUCUUGUUGAAGCCAGUGUGUUUGGUGUCUUUUUGUAUAGUGGCUUAGACAGUGGCCUAACUAGAAGACCAAGGCUCAAAGGAACACAUUUUGAGCUUCUCCACAGUUUGAGAACCUCUACAUUACCUACACCAAGCCUUCCCCAGCACUCAAUUUAUGGAAGACCAUUUCUCUUCUCAUGACACAUGUCCUCAUGUUGCUUUGGCCUGUUUUAAAGCUUUCUCAACUCCAUCUCAAUAAAGAAAUCUGCAGCUUUGUUGGAUGAGAGGAUCUAAAAAGUUCGUUCUUCCAAUCGGUUGUAAAUAUAGACACUAAUUUAUAAACUGACACAGGAACACACAGCAAAUUAGUAGAAAAUCCGAUUCCUGUUCCCUUUUCUCCUUGCAUUGUUUCCUGCCAAUGCUCACCAUUUCUUUAUCCUUUCCACUCUUCCUUGCUCCUCCUUCCCUUUAAUUUUUCUCUGUUGUGCCUAAAUAAGCUGUCCAUGCAUGGCACUCCAUGGGCUCUGAUAACAGACUCAACAAGACAAUGACUUAAAGAUGGAGUGACCAGCUGAUCAGUCACACAAGUUGUUCCAGUGUAAUUAUUUUCACAGGUGUCUCAGUUUGGAUGAUAAA
This 1892-nucleotide long non-coding RNA is filed under the name Homo sapiens (human). RNAcentral's name for it is "HSALNT0331438". Lineage: Eukaryota; Metazoa; Chordata; Mammalia; Primates; Hominidae. The record is from RNAcentral.